AAGGAAGGACAGAAAUCAGUAAGUACUGCUAAUCCUUAUAACCGAGGUUAAAGUCCUCGGCUUCCUUA
RNAcentral lists this transfer RNA (68 nucleotides) under Pelecus cultratus. Its description in RNAcentral is "tRNA-Ser". Lineage: Eukaryota; Metazoa; Chordata; Actinopteri; Cypriniformes; Leuciscidae. The record is from RNAcentral.